GGCAAAACGUCCGCCCGGGCCCGAGGCGGGCGGAGGCAGCUGUGGUUACGUGCGGGGGGCCGGUGACGCAGUCGCGGGGCGCUGGGACGCGGCUUGCGGAGCCGGCCGGCGAGCGCAGGCCCCAGGCUCGGGCGCGGCGGCGGGACAGCACCUACCUUCCCGGCUUCGGGUCCGGGAGUGCGGGGCGCGGAGCCGCCGGAGCGCUGCCUCCCUCCUUCCUCCUCCCCUCGCCCCCGCCCCGCGGCGCGACACACAAUACUCGCCGGAAGCGGAAGCCGCGCCGAGGCUCGUGUAAAAGUCUUGCAGUGAAAAACCCGAGGACCCUUACCGCAAGUGUCUUUUGCUCCCAGCUACUGAUACUGGAUUCCACUCGUGAUUCUCCCUUUCUUAGCGCAUUCAUGAUAUAGACAUCAGUCUCUGAGCUGGAGGAGGACAAAGGCAGCGGUCCUGUGAAUUCUAUGCUCUAGCUUGGGUUAAGGGAUUUGGAAUUGCACUUGUUUCAGAGAGCUCCCUCUUUGCCCACUAGCAGGGCAUUAGCUGGUGCUGAAGACAGUGGCUGCUUGGCGAGCCUGGAUCUCCAAGUGACCCCCUCAGCAACUCCUGAUGAACAGGACUGAAGCCAAUAUUAAAGCAAGUCAACCAAAGGUUCUCUGGUGUAGACAAGACAGCAAAAGGACAGACUACCUUGUGGAACCUAGCAUUGUUCUCCUUCUGCAGCACUAAGUAACAUUUGUUCUCCGUUAAGAUCUUUGCAAACCACACACAAGAAUUGCUGGUCAUCCUGCCAAUAGAUGCUGCUCACAGAACCAAAUUUCCUGUGCUGAAUUGUCACUCAUGGGCUUGAGAGUAGGAGACUGGAGACCAAGGUGGCUAGAAUCCAGUUGGGCCUGAUGUCUCCCUGUUGAAAGGGCUCCUUGUGGAAUGAAUAGCACAUGGCUCCUGUGGUGGAUCUGAUAGUGGCAUAGCACCAAGUGAUGCAGGCCUGCCAGGGGCCACAGACACAGAAGAUGCUCCCGGGGUCCCCCAUGUACUCCAGACACACUGCAGGCCACCUCUCCCAGCAGGUUGCCAGUCAUGGGCCCCAUCAUCAUGACUUCUGUCCAAGGUACUGUGUGCAGAAAUGUGAUUGAGAUUCAAGUCAGGGCCUCUCUGCCCUUUUCCCUCCAGAAACAAAACCAAGAUAAUUUAUCCUGAACACGGUGAAAAAAGGAAGGGAGGGAGGAGAAAAAGUCCGGGUCUCACCUGGGAUUCUCUGUCUCCUGCAACAUGAAGGAUUUAGCCUGGGAGGAGGUGGUGAGAACUCUGGGAGAGAAAAAAGAAGGAAAGAAUAGUUUUACCCAUGCUGAAGUUAAUUUAAACCUUCACCUAGAGAAGCAAAAAAAAAAAACCCACACUUUCCCAUUUUGUGCCUCCCUUCCUAGAGUUUUAGCCAAAGGUUUAGCUAAGUAAUUGGUUUUACCAGCGCACUCACUCCUCCUAUCCCAAGUCUGUUUGACUCCCUCCCCAUCAUCCUCCUCACCUCUUUUCAGGCAGGGUGGGGAUAGCAGCAGGAGGAGAUUUUGGGAGCCUGGCAACUCCUGCAAGGACCGCAGGACAGCCCCUCUGUGGGGAUGCGUGGUGCCCCAUCUGCCGCCCUUCUGAAGAAUGCACUGCCUUCACUUUUUACUGUGUUAGAGUCCAUCCAGACUGUUCUAUCCAAAAAAGUUUCUUUUUCCCCCACAGGCAAUCAGGAAAUGAUUCCUUUCCCGACUGCUUCUGUCUAGUGCCUGGGAAUCUUGAGUCAAUCCCUCAGUAAGUCAGUGACUAGGGAAAUCCCUCUCUGAGCCUCCCAGUUCAUGUUGCUUAGGGAACCUGAUAUUUUCGUGAAACCUGCCUACACAUGGGCAGCCCAACAGCAGAACAAAUGGUGGUGACCAAAGUGAACAAAGAAGUAUAGUUGUGCCAGCUUCGUAGUUGCCCAUGUGGACAAGUCAGCAGGAUCAGGACACGAGGAAGAGUAAAUGUGAGACAGUCAAUGUGACUUCUGCGAUAAACAGAUUUUUAAACCCCGAAAUUUUGCAAAAUUUUGGUGAAACCUGAACUUUCUUCGUUGCAUAUACUGGCACUAUCUGUACCAUCAUACAACUGUCUCACAUUAAAGCUAUUUUUCUUGGGCACUGAUGAGUAAGGUUGGUAUAAGUUCCUCAGAUCAACAAAAACCCAUUUUCCUGUAAGUCUUACAUUUAGUAUUUAAGGAACUAAAACUUAAAUACAUUUUGUGAAAUGGUUGACACUUCACUGAUAAUGAUUUAUUGCUUGGAUUAAUAAAUUUUCCAAAAGUUGUCUUAUGUAGAAUAUGGUUUGCAACCAGCAGAACCAUUAAUCUAUACUGCAAUGAUAUGCACUAUGUAUAAUUGUUUAAAAGCCUCUACUUAAUGAUGUAAAAUGCUCUAUUUAAUUACACAUUUGGGUAAACUGUAUACUAACAUCUGAUGGCAUUUUUCCACUGUUUGUUGCUUUUUUCAAAUACUUUAUUGUACAAAGCUGUUCUUAAUAUUUUUCAAGUUUUUUUCUUUGAAUUUUGCUAAUGUUUUCCUUGAAUUAUGAGCACUGACAGAAUGUGCUUAGCACUUUUGGCUAUUCACACAGCUUUUGAGCAUGAUUUGCAUCCAAUAUUUACAUUGCUAGCAAUAAUAAGCCAUCUGUGAGUUUUGUCAAAAGUUAUUGGGGAUUUUUUAAAUUUUAGAAAUGCAAAUUAUUGUUUCUUUGAACUAACUCUUAUGCAGUUGCAAAGGCAUUUCCAGUUGUUAUAGUUUGUGUACAAUAUCAGGUGUUCCAGAUUAUGAUUCAUUAUUAAUAUCAUUGCUUCCUUGUUCCCUCUGAGGUCCAGAAGAUUCAUGUUUACAAUAUUUAGAAACAAUGUUAAAAAGGUAUCCAAAGUUUGUCACUUUAUUAUUAGUUUGUUCUUAAUAUUCUGUUUAAGUUUUUGAAUUCAUAGAUAUCAAAACGCUGCACAAUUAUGAUUUCCACAGGAAUAACAACACACUAACAAUAAGAACCAAAAACAGCAAAUAGGCUGCCUACAAGUUUUGACAAUAUUAGGAUAAUGAUAAUGACAGUUUUUCUAAAUCUCACAGUAAAGAAUGCAGCAACCCAGCAACACUGCUACCUGUGGCCUCAGGCUGCAGUGUCAGCUCUUCCCUGGGUCUCCAGCCUGCCAGUCUAACCUGAAAAUUAUGUACUUGCCAGCCCCCACAGUCACGUGAGUGAACUGGCCCAGGCUGGUCACCAGGGUCAGUUUCUCUGUGUGUCAUUAAUUCAUUCAGUCUUCAGCAGUCUCUUUGGAGCUGAGAUGUACCUACCAUCUGCCUUUUGGGUGCUUAGGGUGGAGAACCAGAAAAGUAUAACCUAGUGUGUAUCCUCAAAGAGCUAACAAUAUGGGGUGGUACCUAUAGGUCUGGAAACACUUUACUGACUCUGUGAGGCAUACCAGGAGACGUCAGAGAACAGUCCCUCCUCAAAUGCCAAAUGAGAUGCAGAAGAAAUAGUUUGCUCAAGUUCAUGGGCCAGAUAUCCCAGUGGUCAGGGAGUUUCAUGAAUGAGAUGGAACUUUGCAUGGAACCCGAGGGAUGUGUAUGAUUUGAGUAGAUGAAGAAAAUGAGACUUUCCAAGCAGCUAGAAGUUAGGGAGCAGCAAGAUGUGUGGUGGGAUUGAGCACAGUUGGUUCAGAGGAUAGACUGCAGUUUUAAUAAUUUGUAGUAAAUAUCUCCCAACUGUUUGGCACUAUUGGAGCAAGUUCUUGAAUGCCAAAUGAAGGCAUAAAUCAGUAAGAGGCAUAAUAAAAGGCUGAGCAGUGCUUGGCUUUUUACGAACUGAUCCUGAUAGGAGCAGCUGUUCAACAAAGUUGCCAGGUCACCGUUACAUAGUCCCUGCCUUCUAGGGGCUCACUGCCUACUGGGAGAGACAGUCUGAAAGUUGGUGGAGCAUGUAACUGUUGGAUGAGGAGUUUGAGCCUGUGGACUGUGGGACCCCCGAGGAGGGUGUGGCUACUCUAGGCAGAACAAUCCCACAGUUUAUUUAUAUUUAACCUUGAAAUUCAUUAGAGGAUUUUUCAGCAGAGGUUUGGUACUUGUUAAUGUUAAGGUUUGCAUUCUCUAGAACCUCAAGGAAAGCUGUACCGUGCAUAAUGUACCCUCUUAUGUUAAUGUUGUGUACUGUGAUCCUGUUUCAGGGACUUGCACUUAGGAAUCUGUUACAGUGAGCACAGAAGCAGACCUGUGGGCUCAUAGUCUUCACCCCCCACCCAUAUAUACAAGAUGAACAGAGUGGAGGUUAAACAACUUGACUAAACAACACAGUUCAUGGUAAAGCCCAAGACUGUACCUGCCCAUCCACUGCCUUUUCCAUGUAUCCUGGAACUGAGCAUAGACCUCUUCCCAGGCAGAGCUGACAGCAAGUAAAGGAGAUCAUAAUCAGGGGACCAAACAACUUUGUCUAAAGUGUGAAUGUCACCUAAGGAGAAGCUGUGAGAUCAGAAGGGUGGGGCAGAGGAGCAGACACCAUGAGGGAGAGUCCUUGGGGGUACAUCUGCCAGACUGACACUGUCUGGCCUGGGCAGUGGAGGGGCUAGCAGGAACCACAGGUACUGGUGGUGUGGCUACUACCGUUACAACUGCCUGUGCUUGGACAUGGACCCUCUGCAAUAUGCGGCAGUUUCAUUCAUUGCCCCCUACAUUCUACACCAAGUAGAAAUGGAAGGCAAUUGGAUACUUCACAGACAAGAUCUAAGUGGAGAAGGAAUGCGUCCUGUGGCUGCAGAGAUCCUUGGAGCUUGGAGGGGAGAGCUUGAGCCCCACUGAUGAUGACCUCCCACAGCUCGCCAACUCAGCCCUCCCUAAGUCCCCAUCGGGGGCCAAUUCUCACUCUGGGGUUGGGGGGACUCCACCAUAGCUCAUCCAUCAUAGGGAUGUUGGUAUCUACUGUGGGUUGGGUAGGGCCGAUGUGCUGAGGAUGGCUCCCCCACAAGCAAGAGAUGUGGAUUUGGGGAGCUUCCCAUCUUGUGUUGAAGGAACAUAACUCAGAAUAAUAAGAGCCAACUAUAACAAACCCACAGCCAACAUCAUACUGAAUGGGCAAAAGCUGCAGGCAUUCCCCUUGAAAAGUGGCACAGGAUAAGGAAGCCCUUUCUCACCACUCCUAUUCAAUAUAGUGUUGAAAGUCCUGAUCACAGCAGUCAGGCAACAGAAAUAAUAAAGGGCAUCCAAAUAGGAAGAGAGGAAGUCAAACUAUCCUUGUUUGCAGACAGUAUGAUUCUAUAUCUAGAAAACCCCAUAGCCUCAGCCCAAAAGGUCCUUCAUCUGAUAAUUUCAGCAAAGUUUCAGGAGACAAAAUCAGUGUACAAAAAUCACUAACAUUCCUAUACACAGUCGCCAAGCCAAGAGCCAAAUCAGGAGCACAAUCCCAUUCAUAAUUGCCACAAAAAAGAAUAAAAUACCCAGGAAUGCAGCUAACCAAGGAAGUAAAGGAUCUCUACAAUGAGAAUCACAAACGCUGCUCAAAGAAAUCAGAGAUGACACAAACAAAUGGAAAAACUUUCCAUGCUCAUGGCUAGGAAGAAUCAAUAUCAUUAAAGUGGCCAUACUACCCAAAGCAAUUUAUAGAUUCAAUGCUAUUCCUAUCAAACUAUCAAUUACAUUUUUCACAGAACUAGAAAAAACUUAAAAUUCAUAUGGAACCAAAAAGCCUGAGUAGUCAAGGCAAUCCUAAACAAAAAGAACAAAGGUGGAGGCAUCACAUUACCUAACUUCAAACUACAGGGCUACCAUGACCAAAACAGCAUGGUACUGGUACAAAAGCAGACACACAGACCAGUGGGACAGAAUAGAGAGCCCAAAAAUAAGGCCACAAACCUACAGCCAUCUGAUCUUCAACAAAGUUGACAAAAACAAGCAAUGGGGAAAGGUCUCCCUAUUCAAUAAAUGGUGCUGGGAUAACUGGCUGGCCAUAUGCAGAAGAUCGUAACUGGACCCCUUUUACUAUGUACAAAAAUUAAGAUGGUUUAAAGAGUUAAAACCCAAAAUUAUAAAAAUCCUGAAGAUAACUUAGGCAAUACCAUUCUGGACAUAGGAACUGGCAAAUAUUUCAUGAUGAAGACACCAAAAGCAAUUGUAACAAAAGCAAAAAUGGACAAAUUGGAUUUAAGAGCUUUUUCAUAGCAAAAUAAACAACAGGGCAGACAAUCUACCAAAUGACAGAAAAUUUUUGCAAACUAUGCAUCUGACAAGGGGCUAAUAUCUAGCAUCUAUAAGGAAUUUAAACACAGUUACAGGAAAAAAAAAACCCACUCCAUUAAAAAAUGGGCAAAGGACAUGAACAGACACUUUUCAAAAAAGACAUACAUACAGCCAACUAGCGUGUUAAAGAAAACCUCAAUUAUCACUGAUCAUUAGAGAAAUGCAAAAUCAAAACCAUGAUGAGAUAUCAUCUGCCAGUCAGGAUGGCUACAAAAAAGUAAAAAAAUAAUAGAUGUUGGUGAGGUUAUGGAGAAAAGGAACUUAUACACUUGUUAGGAGUGUAAAUUAGUUCAAUCACUGUGGACAGCAGUGUGGUGAUUCCUCAGAGAGCUAAAAACAACUACCAUUUGACUCACCAAUCCCAUUACUGGAUAUUUACCUAAAGGAAUAUAAAUCAUUCCACCAUAAAGACACAUGCAAGUGUAUGUUCAUUGCAGCACUAUUAACAGUAACAAAGCUGGGCACAGUGGCUCACCUCACGACUGUAAUCCCAGCACUUUGGGAGGCUGAGGUAGGCGGAUCACCUGAGGUCGGCAGUUUGAGACCAGCCUGACCAACAUGGAGAGACCCCAUCUCUACUAAAAAUACAAAAUUAGCCAGGUGUGGUGGCUCAUGCCUGUAAUCCCAGCUACUUGGGAGGCCAAGGCAGGAGAAUUGCUUGAACCCAGGAGGCAGAGGUUGCAGUGAGCCGAGAUCACACCAUUGCACUCUAGCCUGGUGAAGGAGCAAGACUCCAUCUCAAAAAAAAAAAAAAAAAAGAAAGAAAGAAAAAUACACAUUCAGAGGAGACAAAAAAUAAAAAACAAUGAUGCAUGCCCACAGGAUCUAGAAAAUAACUUCUUAAGGGCAAAUCUAGGAGUUAUUGGCCUUAAAGAAGAGAUAGAGAAAGAGAUAGGAAUAGAAAGUUUGUUGAAAGGGAUAAUAACAUAGAACUUCCUAAACCUACAGAAAGAUAUUUAUAUCCAAGUACAAGAAGGUUAUAGAACACCAGGCCAAUUUAACCCAAAGAUUACCUCAAGGCAUUUAAUAAUCAAACUCCCACAGGACAAGGGUAAAGAAAGGAUCCUAAAAGCAGCAAGAGAAAAGAAACAGAUAACAUACAAUGGAGCUCCAAUACAUCUGGCAGUAUAUUUUUCAGUGGAAACCUUACAAGCCAGGAGAGAGUGACAUGACAUAUGUUAAAGUGCUGAAGGGAAAAAACCUUUUACCCUAGAAUAGUAUAUCCAGCAAAAAUAUCCUUCAAACAUGAAGAAUAAACAAAGACUUCCCCAGACAAACAAAAGCUGAGGGAUUUCAUCAACACUAGACUGGUCCCAUAAGAAACGCUUAAGGGAGUACUUUGGUCAGAAAGAAACAGACAUUAAUGAGCAACAAAGAAUCAUCUAAAGGUAAAAAACUCACUGUUAAGAGUAAGUACACAGAAAAACCCAAAGUGUGAUAACAUUGUAACUGUGGUGUGUAAGUAGAAAGAAUAAAUGAUAAACCAAUCAAAAAUAGUAACUACAACUUUUCAAGACCAGUCAGAAAAAUAAGAUAAAAUUAGAAACAACAAAAAGUUAAAAAGUGGGGGGAUGAAGUUAAGAUGUAGAGUUUUUAUUAGUUUUUUGUUUGUUAAUGCAAACAGUGUUACCAGGUUAAAAUAAUGGGUUACAAAAUAGUAUUUGUAAUCCUUAUGGUAACCUCAAACCUAAAAACAUACACUGGAUACAUAAAAAAUAAAAAGCAAAAACCUAAAUCAUAUCACCAGAGCAAACUACCUUCCCUAAAGGAAGACAGGAAGAAAAGAAAGAAGAAGACCACAAAACAACCAGAAAACAAAUAAAUAACAAGGCAGGAGUAAGUCUUUACUUAUCGAUAAUACAUUGAAUGGAAAUAUGGACUAAACUCUCCAAUCAAAAGACAUAGACUGGCUGAAUGAAUGGAGAAAACAAGACCCAUUGAUCUGUUGCCUACAAGAAACACACUUAAACUAUAAAGACACACAUAGGCUGAAAGUAAAGAGUUGGAAAGAGUUAUUCCAUGCCAAUGGAAACCAGGAAAAAGAGAAGGAGUAUUGAUUUUGAUACAAAAACUAUGAGACAAAUAAAGUCACUAUACAAUGAUAAAGGGGUUAAUAUGGUUUCCAUUUGUGCCCCACCCAAAUUUCGUGUUCUAUUGUAAUCCUCAAUGUUGGAGGUGGGGCCUGGUGGGACGUGAUUAGAUCAUGGGGGUGGAUCUUUCAUGACUAAUUCAGCACCAUCUUCUUAGUGCUGUUCUCAUGAUAGUGAGUUCUUCUGAAAUCUGGUUGCUUAAAAGUGUGUAGCACCUCUCCACACCACCCGCUUGCCUUGGUCUACUCCUGCUAUGUAGAUGCUUGCUCCCACUUUGCAUUAUUCCAUGAGUAAAAGCUCCCUCAGGCCUUCCCAGAAUCAGAUGCCGCUAUGCUUCCUGAACAGCCUGUGGAACUAUGAGCCAAUUCAACCUCUUUUCUUCAUAAAUUAACAAGUCUUGGGUAUUUCUUUAUAGCAGUGUGAGAACAGAAUAAUACAGAAAAUUGGUAAAGAGGAGUGAGGCAUUGCUAGAAAGAUACCUGAAAAUGUGGAAACAGCAGUGGAACUGGGAAAUAGACAGAGGUUGGAAGAGUGUGGAGGGCUCCGAAGAUAGGAAGAUGAGGGGAAGUUUGGAAUUUCUUAGAGAUUUGUUAAAUUGUUUUGACCAAAAUACUGAUGGUGAUAUGGACAAUGAAGUCCAGGCUGAGGAGGUCUCAGAUGGAGAUGAGGGACUUAUUGGGACCUGGAGUGAAGGUCACUUUUGUUAGGACAUUGUGGUUGGAGACAUUGUGCCCCUGCCCUAGGAAUCUGUGGAACUUUGAACUUGAGAGCGAAGAUUUAGGGUAUCUGGCAGAAGAAAUUUCUAAGCAGCAAAGCGUUCAAGACGUGGCCUGGCUGCUUCUGGUAGUCUGUGCUCAUAUUUGUGAGCAAAGACAUGACAAGAAACUGGAACUUAUAUUUAAAAAGGAAGCAGAGUGUAAAAGUUUGGAGAAUUUGCAGCCUGGCCAUGUUGUAGAAAAGAAAAAAACCAUUUUCUGGAGAGGAAUUCAAGCUAGCUGCAGAAAAUUGCAAGUAACAAGGAGCAAAAUGUUGAUAGCCAAGAUAGUGGGAAAAACACCUUGAAGGCAUUUCAGAUACCUUGGGGGCAGCCUCUCCCAUCACAGGCCCAAAGGCCUAGGAGGGAAGGAUGGUUUCCUGGGCCAGGCUCAGGGUCCUGCUGCCCUGCACAACCUCAGGAAACUGCUCUCCAAAUCCCAGCUGCUCCAGCUCCAGCUUCAGCUCAAAGGGCCCCAGGUAUAGCUCAGGCUGCUGCUCCAUAGGAUGCAAGUUAUAAGCCUUAGUGGCUCCCGUGUGGUGUUAAAUUAAGCCUGUAGGUGCACAGAGUGCAAGAAUUGAGGCUUGGGAGCCUCCAACUAGAUUUCAGAGUAUGUGUGGGAAAGCCUGGAUGUCCAGGCAGAAGCCAGCUGCAGGGACAGAGCCCUCAUGGAGAACCUCUACUAGGGUAGUGUGGAGGGGAAAUUUGGGGUUGGAGUUCCCACACAGCUUCCCCUCUGGUGUACUGCCUAGUGGAGCUGUGAGAAGACAGCCACUGUCCUCCAGAUUCCAGGAUGAUAGAUCUGCCAAUGACAGCUUGCACUGUACAACUGGAAAAGCCACAGGCAGUCAAUGCCAGCCCGUGAAAGCAGUGACAGUGGCUUACCCUGCAAAGUCCCAGGGGCUGAGCUGCCCAAGGCCUUGGGAGCCCACCCCUUGCACCAGUGUGCCCUGGAUGUGAGAUAUGGAGUCAAAGGAGAGUAUUUUGGAGCUUUAAGAUUUAAUGACUACCUGCUGGGUUUCAGACUUGCAUGGGUCCAGUAGCCCCUUUCUUUUGGCCAAUUUCUCACUUUUGGAAUGGGAGUGUUUACCCAAUUCCUGUACCCCCACUGUAUGUUGGAAGUAACUAACUGUUUUUUUAUUUUGUAAGCUCACAGGUGGGAGAGACUUGCCUUGUCUCAGGUUGAGACUCUGGACUUUGGACUUUUGAAUUAAUGCUGGAAUGAGUUAAGACUUUGAGGGACUGUUGGGAAGAUAUAACUGUAUUUUGCAGUAUGAGAAGGACAUGAGAUUUGGGAGACACCAGAGGUGGAAUAAUAUGAUUUGGAUCUGCAUCCCCACCAAAAUCUCAUGUUCAAUUGUAAUCCUAAAUUUUGGAGGUUGAGCCUGGUGGAAGAGGAUUGGAUAAUGGGGGUGGUUUCUCAUGGUUUAACACCAUCCCCCUGGGUGCUGUUCUCAUGACAGUGAGUGAGUUAUUGUGAGAUCUGAUUGUUUAAAAGUGUGUGCCACCUCCUCCCACUUUCCUCCUGCUCCAGCCAUGUAAGACAGGCUUGCCUCCCCUUCACCUUUUGUCAUGAUUGUAAGUGUUCUGAGGCCUCCCCAGCCAUGCUUCCUGUACAGCCUGCAGAACUGUGAGCCAAUUAAACCUCUUUUCUCUAUAUAUUACCCAGUCUCGGGUAUUUCUUUAUAGCAGUGCAAGAAUAGACUAAUACAGGGUUCAAUUCAGCAAGAGGAUAUAACAAAUAUAAAUAUAUAUGCACUCAACACUGCAGCACCCAGAUAUAUAAAGCAAAUACGAUUAGAGCUAAAGAGAGAGAGUGACCCCAAUACAAUAAUAGCUGGAGACUUCAACACCACAUUUUCAGCACUGGACAGAUCUUCCAGACAGAAAAUAAAAAAGAAACAUCAGACUUAAUCUGCACUGUAGAUCAAAUGGAUCUAAUACAUACUUGCAGAACAUUUUAUCCAAUGGCUGCAGAAUACACAUUCUUUUUUAGCACAUGUAUCAUUCUCAAGGAUAGACCAUAUGUUAGGUCACAAGUCUUAAAACAUUAAAAAAGUUGAAUACCAUCAAGCAUCUUCUCUGACCACAGUGGAAUACAACUAGAAACUAAUAACAAGAGGAAUUUUUGAAACUACAAAUACAUGAAAAUUAAACAAUAUGCUCCUGAAUGACCAUUGAGUCAAUGAAGAAAUUAAGAAGGAAAUUGAACAAUUUCUUGAAACAAAUGAUAAAGGAAACACAACAUACCAAAACCUAUGGGAUACGGCAAAAGCAGUACUAAGAGGCAAAUUGAUAGCUAUAAGUGCCUACAUGAAAAAAGAGGAAAAACUUCAAAUAAGCAAUUUAACAAUGAACCUUAACCAGAAAAGCAAGAGCAAAACAAACACAAAAUUAGAAGAAAACAAAUAAUAAAAAUUAGAGCAUAAAUAAAUAAAAUUGAAAUAAAAAUCAAUGCAAAAGAACAAUGAAACAAAAAGUUGCUUUUUUUCAAAAGUUAAACAAAACUGACAAGCCUUUAGCAAGACUGAGAAAAAAGAGACAAGAUACAAAUCAGAAAUGAAAAAGACAUUACAACUGACACUGCAGAAAUUCAAAGGAUCAUUAGGGGCUACUAUGAGCAACUCUAUGCCAAUAAAUUGGAAAAUCUAGAAGAAAUUGACAAUUCCUAGACACAUACAACCUACUGAGACUGGACCAGGAAGAAAUCCAAAACCUGAACAGACUAAUAACAAGUAACAAGGUUGAAGCCAUAAUAAAAAGUCUCCCACUAAAGAAAACCAAGGACCCGAUGGCUUCACUGUUGAAUUCUACCAAACAUUUAAAGAAGAACUAAUACCAAUCCCACUCAAGCUAUUGAAAAAUAGAGGAGGAGAGAAUAUUUCCAAAGUCAUUCUAGGAGACCAGUAUCACCCUGAUACCAAAACCAGACAAAGACACAUCAAAAAAAGAAAACUGCUGGCCAAUUUCUCUGAUGAAUAUUGAUGCCAGAAUCCUCAGCAAAAUAUUAGCAAACUAAAUUCAACAAUACAUUAAAAAGAUCAUUCAUCAGGGUCGGGUGCAGUGGCUUAAGCCUCUAAUCCCAGCACUUUGGGAGGCCGAGGUGGGCAGAUCACCUGAGGUCAGGAGUUCAAGACCAGCCUGACCAACAUGGUGAAACCUCGUCUCUACUGAAAAUACAAAAUUAGCCGAGUGUGGUGGUGCAUGCCUGUAAUCCCAGCUACUCAGGAGACUGAGGCAGGAGAAUCACUUGAACCCAGGAGGUGGAGGUUGCAGUGAGCUGAGAUUGUGGCACUGCACUCCAGCCUUGGUGACAGAGUGAGACUCCAUUAAAAAAAAAAUCAUUUAUCAUGACCAAGUGGGAUUUAUCCCUGGAAUGCAAGGAUGGUUCAACACAUGCAAAUCAAUCAAUGUAAUACAUCAUAUCAAAAAGAAUGAUUAAAACCAUAUGAUUAUUUCUAUUGAUGCUGAAAAAGUAGUUUAUAAAAUCCAACAUCCCUUCAUGAUAAAAACCCUCAAAAAACUGUAUAAAAGAAAUAUACCUCAACGUAAUAGCCAGAUAUGACAGACCCACAGCUAGUAUCAUACUGAAUGGGGAAAAAGUGAAAGACUUUCCUAUAAGAUCUGGAACACAACAGGGAUGUUCACUGUCACCACUGUUAUUCAACAAAGUACUGGAUGUUCUAGCUAGAGCGAUCAGACAAGAGAAGAUAUAAAGGCCAUCCAAACUGGAAAGGGAGAAGUUAAAUUACCCUAGUUUGCAGAUGAUAUGAACUUAUAUUUGGAAAAAACCUAAAGGCUCCACAGGAAAACUAUUAGAAUCAAUAAAUUCAGUAAAGUUGCAGGACACAAAAUCAACAUAUAAAAACCAGUAGCAUUUCUAUAUGUCAACAGUGAACAAUUUGAAAAAUUUUAAAUUUAAGAAGGUAAUUUCAUUUACAAUAGCCACACAUAAAAUUAAAUACCUAGGAAUUAACCAAAAAUGUGCAAGAUAUCUAUGAGGAGAAUUAUAAAACAUUGAUGAAAGAAAUUGAAGAGGACACAAAAAAAAUGGAAAAAAUUCCAUCUUUAUGGAUUGGAAGAAUCAAUAUUGUUAAAAUGUCCAUACUACCCAAAGCAAUCUACAGAUUUAAUGCAAUCCCUAUCAAAAUACCAAUAAUAGUCUUCAGAGAAAUAGAAAAAAAAAUCCCAAAAUUUAUAUGAAAACACAGAAUGCCCAGAAUAGCCAAAAUUAUAUUAAGCAAAAAGAUCAAAACUGGAGGAAUCACAUUACCUGACUUCAAAUUAUGCUACAGAGCUAUAAUCACCAAAACAGCAUGGUACUGACAUAAAAACAGACACAUAGUCCAACAGAACAGAAUAGAGAACCUAGAAACAAAUCCACACACUCACAGGGAACUCAUUUUUGACAGAGUUGCCAAGUACUUAUACUGGAGAAAAGAAAAGACAGUCUCUUCAAUGAAAUGGUGCUGGGAAAACUGGAUAUCCAUAUGCAGAAGAAUGAAACUAGACCCCUACCUCUCACUGUAGACAAAAGUCAAAUCAAGGCUAGGCAUGGUGGCUUACACCUGUAAUCUCAGCACUUUGGGAGGCUGAGGCAGGCGUAUCACGAGGUGAAGAGAUUGAGACCAUCCUGACCAACAUGGUGAAACUCACCCCCCCCCACCCACUAAAAAUACAAAAAUUAGCUGGGCGUGAUGGCAUGUGCCUGCAGUCCUAGCUACUCAGGAGGCUGGGGCAGGAGAAUCGCUUGAACCCAGGAGGUGGAGGUUGCAGUGAGCUGAGAUUGUGCCACUGCACUCCAGCCUGGCGACAGAGCAAGACUCCAUCUCAAAAAAUAAAAAAUAAAUUCAAAAUGUAAUAAAGACUUAAAUCUAAGACCUCAAACAUGAAACUACUAUAAGAAAACAUUGGGGAAAACCUCCAGGACAGUAGUCUGGCCAAAAAUUUCUUGAGCAAUACCCCACAAGCACAGGCAACCAAAAUAAAACUGGACAAAUAGUAUCACAUCAAGUUUAAAAGCUUCUACAAAGCAAAGGAUACAAUCAAUAAAGAGACAACCCACAGAAUGGGAGAAAAUAUUUGCAAACUACCCAUCUGACAAAGAAAUAAUAACCAGAGUAUAUAAGAAGCUCAAACAACUCUAUAGUAAAAAAAAAAAAAAAAAAAAUUCUAAAAGUCUAAGUAAAAAAAUGGGCAAAAGAUUUGAAUAGACAUUUCUCAAAAGAAGACAUACAGGCCAUGCGUGGUGGCUCAUGCCUGUAAUCCCAGCACUUUGGGAGGCCCAGGCGGGUGGAUCACUUGAGGUCAGGAGUUCGAGACCAGCCUGACCAACAUUGUGAAACUCCGUCUCUACUAAAAAUACAAAAAUAAGCCAGGCAUGGUGGCGCACACCUGUAAUCCCAGCUACUCAGGAGGCUGAGGCAGGAGAAUCGCUUAAACCUGGGAGACAGAGGUUGCAGUAAGCCGAGAUCACACCACUGCACUCCAGCCUGGGCAACAAAGUGAGACUCCGUCUCACAAAAAAAAAAAAAAAAAAAAAAAAAAAAGAAAAGAAAAAGGAAGAAGACAUACAAAGCCAGGUACAGUGGCUUAUGCCUCUAAUCCUAGCACUUUAGGAGGCCAAGGCAGAUGGAAUUGAGCCCAGAAGUUUGAGACCAGACUGAGCAAUAUGGUCAAACCCCAAUUCUGCAAAAUACAAAAAUAAAAAAUAGCUGGGAGUGGUGGUGCACACCUGUAGUCCCAGCUACUUAGGAAGCUGAGAUGGGAGGAUCACUUGAGCCUGCAGUGAAUCAUAAUUGCACCAAUGCACUCCAGCCUGGGCGACAGAGUGAGAGACAUUGUCUCAAAAAAAAGAAAAAGAAAAAAAAGAAAGGACAUAAAAAUGACAAACAGGCAUAUGAAAAGGUGCUGAUGAUUAUUGAUCCUCAGAGAAAUGCAAAUCAAAACUGCAAUGAGAUAUAAUCUCACCCCAGUUAAAAUGGCUUAUAUCCAAAAGACAGGCAAUAACAAAUGCUGGUGAGGAUGUGGAUAAAAGGGAACCCUCGUACACUGUUGAUGGGAAUGUAAAUUAGUACAACCACUAUGGAUAACAGUUUAGAGGUUCCUCAGAAAACUAAAAAUUGAGUUGCGAUAUGAUGCAACAAUCCUACUGCUGGGUAUAUACCCCACAAAAGACAAAACCAGCGUUUUGCAUGGUGGCUCACACCUGUAAUCCCAGCACUAUGGGAGGCCGAGGAGGGCAGAUCACUUGAGCCCAGAAGUUCAAGACCAGCCCGAGCAACAUGGCAAAACCUGAUUUCUACAAAAUACAAAAAAAAAAUUAGGCAGUUGUAGUGGUUCACACCUAUAGUCCUAGCUACUGUGGAGGCUGAGGUAGGAUCACUUGAACCUAGGAGGUGGAGGUUGCAGUGAGCCAAGAUCAUGCCACUGCACUCCAGCCUGGGUGACAAAGUGUGACCCUGUCUCAAAAAAGAAAAUCAGUAUAUGGAAGAGGUAUCUGCACUCCUAUGUUUUUUACAACACUGUUUACAAUAGCUAAGAUUUGGAAGCAACCUAAAUGUCUAACAGCAGAUGAAUGGAUAAGGAAAAUUUGGUAUGUAUACACAAUGAAGUACUAUUCAGCCAUAAAAAGGAAUGAGAUCCAGUCAUUUGCAACAGCAUGGAUGGAAGUGGAGAUCAUUAUGUUAAAUGAAAUAAGCCAGGCACAGAAAGGCAAACAUGGCAUGUUCUCACUUAUUUGUGGGACCUAAAUUCAAAACAAUUGAACUAAUGGACAUAAAGAGUAGAAGAAUGGUUACCAGAGGCUAGGAAUGGUAGUGGGGGGCUGAAGGGAAGGUGGGGAUGUUUAAUCGGUAAAAAAAAAUUUAGAAGAAUAAGACCUACUAUUUGAUAGCACAAUAGGGGGACUAUAGUCAAUAAUGCACAUUUAAAAAUAGUGUAAUUGAAUGGUUUGUAACUCAAAGGAUAAAUGCUUGAGGGAAUGGAUACCCCAUUCUCCAUGAUGUGCUUAUUUCACAUUGCAUACCUGUAUCAAAACAUCUCAUGUACCCCAUAAAUAUAUGCAGCUAUUAUGUACCCAC
RNAcentral lists this long non-coding RNA (16198 nucleotides) under Homo sapiens (human). RNAcentral describes it as "PREDICTED lncRNA (TCONS_00229668)". The record is from RNAcentral. Lineage: Eukaryota; Metazoa; Chordata; Mammalia; Primates; Hominidae.